RNAcentral lists this small nucleolar RNA (80 nucleotides) under Trypanosoma cruzi. RNAcentral describes it as "C/D small nucleolar RNA (snoRNA)". The record is from RNAcentral. Lineage: Eukaryota; Euglenozoa; Kinetoplastea; Trypanosomatida; Trypanosomatidae.
CACUCAGAUACGGGGGACAAGGGUCCACGUCAAUUGUGCGACCUGUUGACUCAUAGACGUCCGGUUUGUAAUCACGCCGC